AUGACAGAGAACAGUCCUUCUGGGGAAGGUAUCAGCACUGGACAGAGAUCAGUGUGGAGCGAGUCCUCAGCUCAGCUCCUGUGCCUCCUGUUGCUCUGGCUCCCAGGUUCCCAAGGGGAAGUUAUUCUGACUCAAUCCCCAGCCUUCCUGUCUGUAGCUCUGGGAGAGAGAGUCACCAUCAACUGCAAAGCCAGUCAGAGCCUGCUACACAGUAAUGGAUACACUUAUCUACAGUGGUACCAACACAAACAAGGAAAUCCUGUGAAAUUACUGAUUUACGGAGUCUCCAAUUUAUAUUCUGGCACUCCCUCUCGAUUCAGUGGCAGUGGUUCUGGGACAGAUUUCACCCUCACAAUCAGCAAGCUGGAGCCUGAGGAUGUUGCCAUUUAUUUCUGUCAGCAAGGAACUCAUUCUCCUCCUUCACAGUGCUUCAGUCCUAAACAAAAACCUCCCCAGAUUAUUCAACCCUGA
This is a non-coding RNA of Antechinus flavipes (yellow-footed antechinus), 471 nucleotides long. The record is from the annotation of a RefSeq genome assembly. NCBI's taxonomy places the organism in Eukaryota, Metazoa, Chordata, Mammalia, Dasyuromorphia, Dasyuridae.